UUAAUUAAUUCAGGUUAGAAAAGGACGUGCUCACCUCAGUCCUCUCUACGAACACUGCAGGGUUUUGCGUUCUUUAUAUAUUUUCACAACAGCAAAACGCAAUGCUACGAACAUAUAAGUUGAGCCAUGUUAAGGUAUUGAGUACAAUGUCCUUCUAAGGCUACGACCUUCUGGUAGGUUAUUUUGUAACUGGCAGGAGCUGCUCUCAUGGUUGAAAUCCGAUACUCUUCAAGCCCCAGCAACACUCCGUUGUCUGGUUGCCCACGCAACGAUAUAUCAUCUGUGGAAACAGAGAAACAAUGUCCUCUUCAACAGCACCCACAUUCCACCGGAGUCUAUUAUUAAGUGCAUAGACAGGGACAUUCGCAACACCAUCCAUGCAAGAAACAGGAGGAAAAGAUUCCUCAACUAUCUACCUCUUUGGAGCCACUGAUGUUUGCAUCACCACAAAUGUAACUUAAUUGUCUCUCUGUUUUUCCUUUUUUUGCCAGAGAAGCAAUUUUAGAUUAGUGUUUCUACUCUUGUAAAAACUCUUUUAUUUCAUUUAUGAUAUUAACAUCCUUAGCAAAAAAAAAAUGUUAAGGUAUUGAGGCAUUGGUAGUAGAGCACGUACGGGAAUUGGCAAAGAGUGUUGAAUAUACUUUUUAACUCCUUCCCUCAGAGCUUCCACUUUUUCUGAUGUCACUUUCCAAACGCCUCGUGCUUUCA
This 708-nucleotide long non-coding RNA is filed under the name Brassica rapa (field mustard). RNAcentral's name for it is "long non-coding RNA (BRAP_LNC001763)". The record is from RNAcentral. Lineage: Eukaryota; Viridiplantae; Streptophyta; Magnoliopsida; Brassicales; Brassicaceae.